RNAcentral lists this ribosomal RNA (495 nucleotides) under uncultured bacterium. RNAcentral's name for it is "partial 16S ribosomal RNA". It matches the Rfam family "Bacterial small subunit ribosomal RNA", at positions 28 to 507 of the family's 1533-position model. The record is from RNAcentral.
GACGAACGCUGGCGGCGUGCCUAAUACAUGCAAGUAGAACGCUGAAGGAGGAGCUUGCUUCUCUGGAUGAGUUGCGAACGGGUGAGUAACGCGUAGGUAACCUGCCUGGUAGCGGGUGAUAACUAUUGGAAACGAUAGCUAAUACCGCAUAAGAGUAGAUGUCGCAUGACAUUUGCUUAAAAGGUGCAAUUGCAUCACUACCAGAUGGACCUGCGUUGUAUUAGCUAGUUGGUGAGGUAACGGCUCACCAAGGCAACGAUACAUAGCCGACCUGAGAGGGUGAUCGGCCACACUGGGACUGAGACACGGCCCAGACUCCUACGGGAGGCAGCAGUAGGGAAUCUUCGGCAAUGGACGGAAGUCUGACCGAGCAACGCCGCGUGAGUGAAGAAGGUUGUCGGAUCGUAAAGCUCUGUUGUAAGAGAAGAACGAGUGUGAGAGUGGAAAGUUCACACUGUGACGGUAUCUUACCAGAAAGGGACGGCUAACUACGUG